AGAGUUUGAUCCUGGCUCAGGACGAACGCUGGCGGCGUGCUUAACACAUGCAAGUCGAACGGAAAGGCCCCUUUCGGGGGGUGCUCGAGUGGCGAACGGGUGAGUAACACGUGGGUGAUCUGCCCUGCACUUCGGGAUAAGCUUGGGAAACUGGGUCUAAUACCGGAUAGGACUACGGCCUGCAUGGGUUGUGGUGGAAAGUUUUUAAUGGUGUGGGAUGGGCCCGCGGCCUAUCAGCUUGUUGGUGGGGUGAUGGCCUACCAAGGCGACGACGGGUAGCCGGCCUGAGAGGGUGUCCGGCCACACUGGGACUGAGAUACGGCCCAGACUCCUACGGGAGGCAGCAGUGGGGAAUAUUGCACAAUGGGCGCAAGCCUGAUGCAGCGACGCCGCGUGGGGGAUGACGGCCUUCGGGUUGUAAACCUCUUU
Molecule: ribosomal RNA, 429 nt
Filed under: uncultured bacterium
Lineage: Bacteria
Description: bacterial SSU rRNA
Rfam family: Bacterial small subunit ribosomal RNA
Source: RNAcentral